AGCGCGGACAGCGGAGCCAAGAUGGCGGCCGAGUUGGAGUACGAGUCUGUGCUGUGUGUGAAGCCGGACGUCAGCGUCUACCGGAUUCCGCCCCGGGCCUCCAACCGCGGUUACAGGGCAUCUGACUGGAAAUUAGACCAGCCUGAUUGGACUGGUCGCCUCCGAAUCACUUCAAAAGGGAAGACUGCCUAUAUCAAACUCGAGGAUAAAGUUUCAGGUAAUCUUUGCAGGUGACCCUCUAACAUUAAGAAUAUUAAUUUGGUGUGCUUUUAUAAGUACCUUCAAUUUGGGGACUGGAAUGGAAAUACUAGUUGUUAAUUGGAAUUCUGGAUUUUGGCUUCCUUUACUCAAAAAAGUCUUUCUCUUAUCUGUCAGGGGAGCUCUUUGCUCAGGCACCAGUAGAACAAUAUCCUGGUAUUGCUGUGGAGACAGUGACAGAUUCCAGCCGCUACUUUGUAAUCCGGAUCCAGGAUGGUACUGGGCGCAGUGCUUUCAUUGGCAUUGGCUUCACAGAUCGGGGAGAUGCCUUCGACUUUAAUGUCUCCUUGCAGGAUCACUUCAAGUGGGUAAAGCAGGAAUCUGAGAUUUCCAAGGAAUCUCAAGAAAUGGAUGCUCGUCCUAAGUUGGAUCUGGGCUUCAAGGAAGGACAAACCAUCAAGUUGAGUAUCGGGAACAUUACAAACAAGAAAGGAGGUGCUUCCAAGCCCAGGACUGCAAGGGGUGGGGGCCUGAGCUUACUCCCACCCCCGCCAGGAGGCAAAGUCACUAUUCCCCCACCAUCCUCCUCAGUUGCCAUCAGCAAUCAUGUCACCCCACCACCCAUUCCGAAAUCUAACCAUGGAGGCAGUGAUGCAGAUAUCCUUUUAGAUUUGGAUUCUCCUGCUCCUGUCACGACACCAGCACCAACUCCAGUUUCUGCAAGCAAUGACUUGUGGGGAGACUUCAGCACUGCAUCCAGCUCUGUUCCAAACCAGGCACCACAGCCAUCCAACUGGGUCCAGUUCUGAAUGGCAUUGGCAGGACAUUAAGGACAGACUUGAGGAAUAAAAAUGACCUUGAGGGCACCAAUCUGUGAGGGAAGUUAGGAACCCAUUUCCUCCCCAGAAUCAAAAUGACUGGACAAUCUUUUUCGUAGCUUCUCCAUCACAUUCAAGCUGGUUUAUGUCACUCCCCUGUGUUGUUACUUGUACAGCCAAGAAAGUAUCUGUUAAUCUCCUGCUUAGUACCAAGGUAGGGGACUAGUGAAUCUUAUCAUAGUUUUGGCUGACUAUGCAGGGCUCAAAAGGCCAGCGUCUGUUUGAGGGGGAAUGACCUCUGACAUCUGUAAAAUUUGUCUCAUCUUUUAAAUUCUUUAACUUAUUUCAAAAUCAUCUCAUGACCCUCGUGUGCCUCUUUGUGAAGCCCUAUUUAGCAAUUUCAGGGGAGUCAAAAACCUUGCAACUUCCUUCUCCACUAACCCAGGACUAAAAAUGGACAGGCUGACCUUAGUGUUUACAAAUUCAGAAUUUUGAUAGGGGUAGAUAUGGAGAAAGACCUAUUUCCUGGGUCUCUGCUGUGUAGUCUCCUUCAGGCUUAUUGUACACAGUGAACAUCCAGUGCUGGGUGCAGCUCCAUCACCCUCUUGUGUGUUUACAUGUCUCUUUCUAUGAUAAGAGGGUUGUGUUGGUGGCACCUCCACUACUCUUUUCUGUUUGUUGAAUUUGAAUUGUGUAACAUCUUUGACCAGUGGGUGUUUCUGUAAUGAAGGAGGUUCAAGAGGCUGUGCUUUCCAAGUGAUAGUCUAUAGGAAUGUUUGAUUUCUUGCAGCUCCAUCUGGUUGCUGCAUUUGAAGCAUGGCAUUAAUUUGUAUUUGCCCUGUUGUUUGACCUUAAGUUGAAGGGUUUAGAGUUUUUAACCUGAUCUGUAGAGCAGAGAGGUUGAAAGCACUUAACUCUUGUUUAGUAUCCUCAUUGCCUUGCUGCCUGGGUAUCUGGCCCCUUUUCAUAAACAUUUCUUUUCAGUUCAUGUAGUUCUUUAAUAGAAAGCUGCUAUUAUGUAUAUUGUCAUUUGUGAAGGAAGUUGGAGAGUCACAGAUUUACUGUGACAGGUUUUGCCCAAGUCUGUGAUACCUGUCACCCAGGGUAUCUUAAAAGCAAGUUGUUCUCCCACUACUUUCCUUUCCCUCUGCCCUGCCAUUCCUUUUACAAUGCUGUGAAAAAAGUUCUGCUUCUUAGGUGAAUGGGUACUUUCUAUUUUGUUUCUAAAUGAGCAAUUUUGAGGAUGAAAUGGGAAGAUAUCAUUUCUUCCUUUUUGCACCUAUUAGGUAUGUACACUCUCUGGCUGAAGGGAGUCCUUAUGUUUAGUUUCAAAAUAUAUUACUUUCCUGGAUUCCCUUCUUAACGUUUUCUGACUUUGGGUCCAUUUUCUUUUCAUUGCCUCCUUUUCCAGGCAGCUCUAUUCUUGCAGAGCCAUGGCAGGACAUAUUAAAAUUCCAGUAGAAAACACUAAAAGGAAAGUCUGUAGAAUCACUAGUGACUAAAUACUGGGAACCUAUUUUCUCAAUCUUCCUCCAUGUUGUGUUCUUUGUAUUCUCAAGAUGAUAAUAUAUUAUGUAUUUGAAUUCCUGAAAAAUGGAAAAUGUUUAAGAUAUAUGUAUAUAAAGCAUAUGC
RNAcentral lists this small RNA (2648 nucleotides) under Pongo abelii (Sumatran orangutan). Its description in RNAcentral is "retained intron". Lineage: Eukaryota; Metazoa; Chordata; Mammalia; Primates; Hominidae. The record is from RNAcentral.